UACGGAGGAUCCAAGCGUUAUCCGGAAUCAUUGGGUUUAAAGGGUCCGUAGGUGGACGAUUAAGUCAGGGGUGAAAGUCUGCAGCUCAACUGUAGAAUUGCCCUUGAUACUGGUUGUCUUGAAUCAUUGUGAAGUGGUUAGAAUAUGUAGUGUAGCGGUGAAAUGCAUAGAUAUUACAUAGAAUACCAAUUGCGAAGGCAGCUUACUACAUAGUUAUUGACACUGAGGCACGAAAGCGUGGGGAUCAAACAGG
RNAcentral lists this ribosomal RNA (253 nucleotides) under uncultured bacterium. RNAcentral describes it as "partial 16S ribosomal RNA". It matches the Rfam family "Bacterial small subunit ribosomal RNA", at positions 524 to 776 of the family's 1533-position model. The record is from RNAcentral.